UCCUGGCUGGCUCAGUGGGUAGAGCAUGCGACUCUUGAUCUCAGGGCCAUGAGUUUGAAUCCCAUGUGUGGCA
RNAcentral lists this transfer RNA (73 nucleotides) under Felis catus (domestic cat). It matches the Rfam family "tRNA". From Rfam's summary of the family: Transfer RNA (tRNA) molecules are approximately 80 nucleotides in length. Their secondary structure includes four short double-helical elements and three loops (D, anti-codon, and T loops). Further hydrogen bonds mediate the characteristic L-shaped molecular structure. tRNAs have two regions of fundamental functional importance: the anti-codon, which is responsible for specific mRNA codon recognition, and the 3' end, to which the tRNAs corresponding amino acid is attached (by aminoacyl-tRNA synthetases). tRNAs cope with the degeneracy of the genetic code in two manners: having more than one tRNA (with a specific anti-codon) for a particular amino acid; and 'wobble' base-pairing, i.e. permitting non-standard base-pairing at the 3rd anti-codon position. The record is from Rfam by way of RNAcentral. Lineage: Eukaryota; Metazoa; Chordata; Mammalia; Carnivora; Felidae.